This 254-nucleotide ribosomal RNA is filed under the name uncultured Paracoccus sp. Its description in RNAcentral is "partial 16S ribosomal RNA". It matches the Rfam family "Bacterial small subunit ribosomal RNA", at positions 524 to 776 of the family's 1533-position model. Lineage: Bacteria; Pseudomonadati; Pseudomonadota; Alphaproteobacteria; Rhodobacterales; Paracoccaceae. The record is from RNAcentral.
UACGGAGGGGGGCUAGCGUUGUUCGGAAUUACUGGGCGUAAAGCGCACGUAGGCGGACCAGAAAGUUGGGGGUGAAAUCCCGGGGCUCAACCUCGGAACUGCCUUCAAAACUAUUGGUCUGGAGUUCGAGAGAGGUGAGUGGAAUUCCGAGUGUAGAGGUGAAAUUCGUAGAUAUUCGGAGGAACACCAGUGGCGAAGGCGGCUCACUGGCUCGAUACUGACGCUGAGGUGCGAAAGCGUGGGGAGCAAACAGG